Molecule: ribosomal RNA, 910 nt
Filed under: uncultured Bacteroidota bacterium
Lineage: Bacteria; Pseudomonadati; Bacteroidota
Description: bacterial SSU rRNA
Rfam family: Bacterial small subunit ribosomal RNA
Source: RNAcentral
AUUAUGGCUCAGGAUGAACGCUAGCUACAGGCUUAACACAUGCAAGUCGAGGGGAAACGAUAUUGGAAGCUUGCUUCCGAUAGGCGUCGACCGGCGCACGGGUGAGUAACGCGUAUCCAACCUGCCCAUCACUUGGGGCUAACCUUGCGAAAGUAAGACUAAUACCCAAUGAUAUCUCUAGAAGACAUCUGAAAGGGAUUAAAGAUUUAUCGGUGAUGGAUGGGGAUGCGUCUGAUUAGCUUGUUGGCGGGGUAACGGCCCACCAAGGCUACGAUCAGUAGGGGUUCUGAGAGGAAGGUCCCCCACAUUGGAACUGAGACACGGUCCAAACUCCUACGGGAGGCAGCAGUGAGGAAUAUUGGUCAAUGGGCGAGAGCCUGAACCAGCCAAGUAGCGUGCAGGAUGACGGCCCUAUGGGUUGUAAACUGCUUUUAUAAGGGAAUAAAGUGAGCCUCGUGAGGCUUUUUGCAUGUACCUUAUGAAUAAGGACCGGCUAAUUCCGUGCCAGCAGCCGCGGUAAUACGGAAGGUCCGGGCGUUAUCCGGAUUUAUUGGGUUUAAAGGGAGCGUAGGCCGGAGAUUAAGCGUGUUGUGAAAUGUAGAUGCUCAACAUCUGCACUGCAGCGCGAACUGGUUUCCUUGAGUACGCACAAAGUGGGCGGAAUUCGUGGUGUAGCGGUGAAAUGCUUAGAUAUCACGAAGAACUCCGAUUGCGAAGGCAGCUCACUGGAGCGCAACUGACGCUGAAGCUCGAAAGUGCGGGUAUCGAACAGGAUUAGAUACCCUGGUAGUCCGCACGGUAAACGAUGGAUGCCCGCUGUUGGUCUGAAUAGGUCAGCGGCCAAGCGAAAGCAUUAAGCAUCCCACCUGGGGAGUACGCCGGCAACGGUGCAACUCAAAGGAAUUGACGG